UAUGUAUAUGUAUAUAUACAAAUGCAUUAAUACACAAUGAUAUACAUAUGGAAAAUCCGAGAAUGGCUAGUACCUAACUUUGGCAUUGAGUGUUAUACAAAUGCCAGAAACGGCCGCCAUUGUAUUGAAGCAAAGGUACCGUCCACUCAUCCUAAAUUCAGGACCAGGUAUUGCAAUAGUCUAGGGUUCAAAGGCCAACAGCUUUUCAAUGCCCUUCUACAAAAAUUAAGAAAUUUGAGCGA
Octopus sinensis (East Asian common octopus) is the source of this 242-nucleotide long non-coding RNA. RefSeq lists it as uncharacterized. Lineage: Eukaryota; Metazoa; Mollusca; Cephalopoda; Octopoda; Octopodidae. The record is from RefSeq and is a predicted model, not a curated record. The transcript has 4 exons.